This is a long non-coding RNA of Teleopsis dalmanni, 1373 nucleotides long. RefSeq lists it as uncharacterized. The record is from RefSeq and is a predicted model, not a curated record. The transcript is spliced from 3 exons. Lineage: Eukaryota; Metazoa; Arthropoda; Insecta; Diptera; Diopsidae.
UUGGCGCAGUUUGCAGUAUCACCAUUUUGUAAAUUGGGCAAAGCGCACUUAAGUUCCAAUCGUUGGGCAUGCAUUCAUCUGAUCAUAUGUUGCGAAUUAGCUGUAACAUACAUUUUAAUAGCUCUUUUUCACCCGCUUUAAAAAGCUCAGCCGGUAAACCAUUGGUGCGUGCAGCUUUGUUCUUUUUGAGUCGCAUUAUAACUAUUUUAACUUAAUUAUGAUCGAGACGCGGGACGAUUAUUUCAUCUUCAACGAUUGUAAAUUCAGGAUAAUCUUCGCUUUCAGUCACAUUACUAUUACCGUCAUUUAGUAGGUUCGAGAAAUGAUCCCUCCAUUGCGCGCAUAUAUCGGCUUCUUCGAAUGAAUUUUUCAGAUGCUGACAGAGUCGAGUAGCUGUGCUUGUUUACGCACCUUUUUCAUUGCACAUAAACGUGUGCAGAUCUUGGCUGCAACAAGAUAAUGAUCCGGGUCAGCCUUCUUCCAUUAUCAGAAGUUUUGGUGUGAAAGCUGAACUUUCCUUCUUUACGUACUUUUGCGUUGAAGUCUCCUACAACGAUUUUAAUGUGAUGAUGGGGACACCGUUCAUAUGCUUGUUCAAGCUGUUCAUAGAAAGUUUCCUUGAUGUCAUCAUCUUACGGAUUUUGGCAAGCCUUUCGUUUAUUGGUGUAAAUGUUGAGACCAAAUUUUUCAACCUUCGACUUACCGCAAAUCCGACUCCAAAUUCGUACUUUGUUUCAUGGCAGCUGUAGUAGAUGUCACAAUGUUCUCGUUUAAAGCAUCCUUGUCCCGUCCAUCCCAUUUUAAUGUCAGCCUUAUAUUUCUUGAGGACAUUAACCAGCUGUAUAGAUGCACCUUCUCUAUUUGUAUUGCUUGGGGUCAAUUUUCGGGUCCGGAUAGUCACAUAAAUAUUGAAAACUUUUGACGAAACUGUGCUGAAGAGUGCUGGGCUGACUGGAAGCUGUCAGUGAAAAACAAGCAGCUGAAAUGAAGUGCUUUUUGGACCAAAAAGGCAAUCCACCGAGUACUGAAGGGCCGAAAACUCUUGACGGAAUAGAUAAAUAGGUGAUAGCAUUGAGUUCAGAGCAUCAAAAUCAAAAUAGCCCUGAAACAGGCAUUCCGAUUUCUUUGAGGUAGGAUUUCUUGAGAGUUAAGAAAUUGUAGAUAACCACUUUGCUACUCCAACGUCCACACAGCAAGUAGAAUUAACGCCUUCUUUACUACCGGAACCCAAAAAGGCAAGGAAUGAGAUCUAUUUGUCAGAGCUCGAAAGAGUUAAGCGCCUCAUUACUGAGCAAAAUGAAAAGCAGAACCAGAUAUUUCAAGAGAUGCUUACAGUAUUGAAACACAUCAACAAUAAGUGGGAUGUGUUAAUU